RNAcentral lists this long non-coding RNA (501 nucleotides) under Marmota monax (woodchuck). The record is from RNAcentral. Lineage: Eukaryota; Metazoa; Chordata; Mammalia; Rodentia; Sciuridae.
AUUUUGAAACGGGGUCUCACUGAGUUGCCUACUCAGGCUGGCCUCAAACUUGCCAUCCUUCUGCCUCAGCCUCAGGAGUCCUGGGAUUAUAGGACUUGCUCCCCGAUACCAGCUCCUCCUUGAUACACCUGUUGGAUAGGCAGACAGCUUCCUGGGAUGGACAGGAGCUACCUCACCAGCCCUGCUCAAAGCCGUGAAAAUAAGAGCAGUGCUGUAGCAUAUCACCUCCCAGAGGAUCCUAAGACACACAACGACUAACUGUCUUGGGAGAGUUAUUGGAAAGAAAAAGUAUAAUAAAUAGAAAAUAAGAAAUUGUAAAUGAAGUGUGGGCCUUGCUUGAUGAUAAUACAUCUACCUUGGUUCAUUAAUUGUAACAAAGGUAUCAGACUAGUAAAAGAUACUGUCUUGGUCCUUUGGGAUGCUGUAACAAAACACCUUAGACUGGGUAUUUUAUAAACAGCGUAACAACCUAAGUAUGUUGCUCACAGUUCUGGAGGAUGG